UACGUAGGGUGCAAGCGUUGUCCGGAAUUAUUGGGCGUAAAGGGCUCGUAGGCGGUCCGUCACGUCGGGAGUGAAAACUUGGGGCUUAACCCCAAGCCUGCUUCCGAUACGGGCGGACUAGAGGUAGGCAGGGGAGAACGGAAUUCCUGGUGUAGCGGUGAAAUGCGCAGAUAUCAGGAGGAACACCGGUGGCGAAGGCGGCUUGCUGGGCCUUACCUGACGCUGAGGAGCGAAAGCGUGGGGAGCGAACAGG
Molecule: ribosomal RNA, 253 nt
Filed under: uncultured bacterium
Lineage: Bacteria
Description: partial 16S ribosomal RNA
Rfam family: Bacterial small subunit ribosomal RNA
Source: RNAcentral